This is a long non-coding RNA of Salarias fasciatus (jewelled blenny), 2683 nucleotides long. The record is from Ensembl. Lineage: Eukaryota; Metazoa; Chordata; Actinopteri; Blenniiformes; Blenniidae.
AUGGCUUCACUAAGAGUUUUCCUCGUUUUGUUGCUUCAGGCUGAAGGCAUCAGAGGAGGCAUCUCUUACUGUGAUCUCUAUCAGAGACCUGGAGAUGAUGUCUUGUUACCCUGUCUUCAGGUGUCAUUAACGAAGACCAGAUGUUCAGAUAUUGACUGGUUUUACAACAAACAGCGAAGAAGAACUUUUCUUGAUGUUGAUGAUGGAGAAGUUGUGAAGAGCUCACCCCGAGCUGCCAGACUGAGUCUGCACACCAACUGCUCUCUGAUCAUCAAUAACAUCACAGCUGAGGACGCUGGUCAGUACACCUGUCGAUAUUUGAGGGACUCUACCUGGGACACACAGGUGUUUCUCAACAUUUUGACAAUUUCACCGUCAUCUACAGACACAGAUCCAAAUAGAGACGGAGACGUGACAUUAAGUUGCUCCCUGUUCAAAUUUGGAGGACGGUGUGAACCCAGGAGUGUCCGCUGGGUGGAUGAGAUGGGAGCUGAGCUGGUUGGUGAAGGUGAUGGUUUCAGGUAUGGAGGACAGACAAACUGUGUUUCUUAUCUGACUGUGAAGAAUCAGGCUGAACACAGCAGAAGAUACACCUGCCAGUAUGUUGAUGAAACAGGUGUGAAGAUCCAGGCUCUCUACUCAGCUGCGUCCUCAGUCCGUGAUGAACCCUUCAUCUUCAUCGUCGGGGGCGUGGUCGGGCUGUUGGUGUUGAUCCUGGUCAUUACAGUUAUUCUACUGAAAUGCAGAAAACAAGUGAAAGCGACAAAAGAUGCUCCAAAACUGGCCAAUAUUCCAGAAGAGGCCGAUGUGACCUAUGCCACAGUAAACGAGCAUCACACCAGUGACCAUAAAGAUGAUGAGACAGAGAUCAGUCUGACCUACGCCACUGUGAGCCUCACGAAUCAAAAGGUCCAUCAGAAGAAGAAGGUCAAAGUUGAGGAAAAGGUGGAAGAAGUGACUUAUUCUGCUGUCAGGACUCGGUGAAGACCAAACUGAAAGCUCCCAGAAUGCCUCGGGCCUGGGUAAAACAAGCUCCCUCCACCGGACGACCAGCAGCCGCACACUGUGCCCAGCGCCGGACGCCCCGAGGCGCCAGCUGCUGGAGACGAGCACAGCGUCACCAGAAGACACAACCGCCGCUGCUGGACGCCGCAGCUGAUCCUGAAGAUGAAGAUGAUGAGCACAGGAACACUUACUGCUGCGACCACACCGAGGUCCCCCACACGACAGAGACGUCCUCCUCCACGCUUGAAGGACACUUGAACAAUUGAACUUGAGACGCUGUCGUCUGAGUUCCAAAACGGAAAAUUCAGUGUGUUGAUUUCACAGAAUUUUUACAGAAUUUCCCAGUUUGGGAUCAAUAAAGUACUACUCUGCUCUGCUCUACUCUACUCUACUCUACUCUACUCUUCACUGGUGGUGGACUUCAACCACAAAAAAAGAAGAAGAAGAAGAAGAAGAAGUGUUUGAAGUGAUUUUUCUGUUUCAGACCAAUUUACGAUGUUCUGUUUUUUUUUUUUUGUUUGUUUGUUUUUUUCUCAGUUUUGAAAUGUUUAGUUCAGGGGCGCUGCUGGGUUUUCAGUUCAGGUGGGCUCAGCCCCCAGGAGAGGCACAGGAUGUGAGCGAACACAGAGCACGAGCGUAAAACUCCACAAACAGCUAAGAAAAACUGAGAAAUUAUUCAUUGUUAUUGUAGUUUGUUUUGACACAGGACAACUACAGUAAAGGUUUGCAGAGUAACAGUGUGUUUACCGCUGCAGUCUUUACCCCCAGUCAAUAGCAAGACAGAGUUUGGGAGUCUGUGAAAAAAAAAUCUCAAAUUAAAAUGAUAAUAAAUUAAUAAGCUGGCUGAAUCAGUAAAAGAAAAAAGGGUGUAAGACUAGUUACAUAUAUUUACUGGAUGGCUGUUAUGUUUGUCAGUUUCCUGUCGAUGAUUCAAAGAAGUGACAAUAAGUGUUGAACCACUUCAGAAAGUUUUGAACUAGUUUUCUAAUAAACCAGGUUCAUCCGGACUGAGUCAGUGCUCAUAUUGUUUGUAGAAACUUGAAGAUGAAGGAAACACUCUGGUAUGAAUCUUCAGAACUUCAUGCUUUAUUAGCAGCUGCUGCACAUAACAUCUCACUGCUCGCAGGAGAUUAGUGUGAAGCUAGUGCUUCUCCACUCCUCAACUUCAUCUGCUUCUUUCUGUGUGAGGAGAGAGCCAUUUUUCCGCCACCCAGUUUCCAGUCCAAACACAGCAAAACGCGGCUAUCGCAUUCUCAAAAACCAGCCCAAAGUCGACCCAGUAGAGUUGCACUCUCCCUCCUGUCAAAGCAGGAACAGCCAGCUGAGUUCUCCGUGUCGUAAUGUCGGCGAUGAGGAAGCGGCGGUCAGCCAACGCAGUGAGAUACGGUGAAAUUUCAGGCCCAAUCUGUUCUCAAAUUGACUUGUGUGCCUGAAUACCACACACGUUACCAUCGCCAUUAAAAUAAGACGUGUUUCAUUCGCUAAUCCACCAGUAUUCUGCGUGUUGUUAGCUGCACGGUUGGCAACACUUUUAGCCUACAGGAAGUGUGACAUUUCGAAACUGUCCUAAAUAAAGAAAAUGGAAAGCACCAUCAGAGUUUCUGCAUCAGUCUAUAAAUACACUGCAUCUGCGGGCUUCUGCUGAAAAGUGAUGCCAGUCUGCAGCUUUCUCGCUGCU